Molecule: non-coding RNA, 54 nt
Filed under: Pseudorhizobium pelagicum
Lineage: Bacteria; Pseudomonadati; Pseudomonadota; Alphaproteobacteria; Hyphomicrobiales; Rhizobiaceae
Description: sul1 RNA
Rfam family: sul1 RNA
Source: Rfam by way of RNAcentral
CCCGGCCCCGCUAUAGAUACCUGGCUCUUCCGGCCGCCGAUCCGCCGGACAACG